GAAAUUCAGCUUGCCCCCAAUUUUUUCGAGGUUCGACUAAAAAUUUUGCUAAAAUGACUGUACUACUAAACUGGAUGAUGGAAAUUAUUACGUAAUUUAUGUGUAUUUUCCCAUAGACUGGUUGGAAAUAUCUUUCGAAAUCGGUGUACCCGAAUAUAGUCCUUCUUCUGGAAUAGCCUUGGCAGUGGAACAGUGUCAUUGUCCUUCCAACUACGUCGGAUUGAGUUGCGAAGAAUGUGCUGACGGGUAUUACAGAUCUUCCACCGGUCUUUUUGGUGGUAAUAGUAUACCUUGCCAGUGCAACGGACACACUGCCACUUGCGAUAAAGCGACUGGAGUUUGCAUUGAUUGUAAACAUAAUACCACAGGAGAUCAUUGCGAGAAGUGCAAAAUGGGAUAUUAUAGAAAUUCUACGGUCGGAUCGCCGAAUGAUUGUUUGAUUUGCGCGUGUCUUUGCCGAUACAUUCGAACAAUUUGCCACUGAACUACAUGGGUUACAUUGGAUAAGAAAAGAUAAUAUAGGUAAGCAAGGUGAAAAAGAAAUGCCAAAUAUGUGACAGAUCAAUGAAAGUGACUAAUCGUUAACUUAUGGGUUGUUCAAUAGUUUGAAAAUAGUAAUAAAUAUGUUAUCCAAUUAUUUUGAAACACGUAGUUUGUGAUUGUUUUUUCUUGCCAUAGGGUGAUGGCGAUUUUGUCUUAUUCUGUAUUUUAUAUUAUACAUAUUUGUUAGAACUGAAAGCUCGUAAGUUUUUUGUUAGUUGAAGAAUUGUGAACUUCUAGACUGUGUUCAGUCAAGUUGUAUGGAAGUUUUCUGCUCAUGUACAUAUUUGUUGAAAUGGAUUAUUAAAAUAAUGUUGAAUUAUAAUUAUGAAAAAAAUAAA
Long non-coding RNA from Planococcus citri (citrus mealybug), 881 nucleotides. RefSeq lists it as uncharacterized. The transcript is spliced from 3 exons. Lineage: Eukaryota; Metazoa; Arthropoda; Insecta; Hemiptera; Pseudococcidae. The record is from RefSeq and is a predicted model, not a curated record.